Molecule: non-coding RNA, 30 nt
Filed under: Mus musculus (house mouse)
Lineage: Eukaryota; Metazoa; Chordata; Mammalia; Rodentia; Muridae
Also listed under: 1 other name
Source: RNAcentral
UAGGCACUCAAUAAAUGUUUGUUGGGUAAA